This 501-nucleotide ribosomal RNA is filed under the name uncultured bacterium. RNAcentral's name for it is "partial 16S ribosomal RNA". It matches the Rfam family "Bacterial small subunit ribosomal RNA", at positions 356 to 866 of the family's 1533-position model. The record is from RNAcentral.
GGGGAAUAUUGCACAAUGGGCGAAAGCCUGAUGCAGCGACGCCGCGUGCGGGAUGAAGGCCUUCGGGUUGUAAACCGCUUUUAAUUGGGAGCAAGCGAGAGUGAGUGUACCUUUUGAAUAAGCACCGGCUAACUACGUGCCAGCAGCCGCGGUAAUACGUAGGGUGCAAGCGUUAUCCGGAAUUAUUGGGCGUAAAGAGCUCGUAGGCGGUUUGUCACGCCUGGUGUGAAAGUCCAUCGCUUAACGGUGGAUCUGCGCCGGGUACGGGCAGGCUAGAGUGCAGUAGGGGAGAUUGGAAUUCCCGGUGUAACGGUGGAAUGUGUAGAUAUCGGGAAGAACACCAAUGGCGAAGGCAGAUCUCUGGGCUGUUACUGACGCUGAGGAGCGAAAAGCAUGGGGAGCGAACAGGAUUAGAUACCCUGGUAGUCCAUGCCGUAAAACGGUGGAUGCUGGAUGUGGGACCCUUCCACGGGUUCCGUGUCGGAGCUAACGCGUUAAGCA